GUCUACAGCUAUGCCACCCUGAACAAGCCCGAUCCCGUCUGAUUCCGGAAGCUAAGCAGGGUCAGGCUUGGUUAGUACUUGGAUGGGAGACCACCUAGGAAGACCAGGUGCUAUAGGCG
This is a non-coding RNA of Pteropus alecto (black flying fox), 119 nucleotides long. NCBI's taxonomy places the organism in Eukaryota, Metazoa, Chordata, Mammalia, Chiroptera, Pteropodidae. The record is from Rfam.